GAGUUUGAUCUUGGCUCAGAUUGAACGCUGGCGGCAGGCCUAACACAUGCAAGUCGAGCGGAUGACGGGAGCUUGCUCCUUGAUUCAGCGGCGGACGGGUGAGUAAUGCCUGGGAAUCUGCCUGGUAGUGGGGGACAACGUUUCGAAAGGAACGCUAAUACCGCAUACGUCCUACGGGAGAAAGCAGGGGACCUUCGGGCCUUGCGCUAUCAGAUGAGCCUAGGUCGGAUUAGCUAGUUGGUGGGGUAAUGGCUCACCAAGGCGACGAUCCGUAACUGGUCUGAGAGGAUGAUCAGUCACACUGGAACUGAGACACGGUCCAGACUCCUACGGGAGGCAGCAGUGGGGAAUAUUGGACAAUGGGCGAAAGCCUGAUCCAGCCAUGCCGCGUGUGUGAAGAAGGUCUUCGGAUUGUAAAGCACUUUAAGUUGGGAGGAAGGGCAGUAAGUUAAUACCUUGCUGUUUUGACGUUACCGACAGAUAAGCACGGCUAACUCUGUGCCAGCCGCCGACCG
This 515-nucleotide ribosomal RNA is filed under the name bacterium enrichment culture clone ALO1_GLFRUDD03F3I7Q. Its description in RNAcentral is "bacterial SSU rRNA". It matches the Rfam family "Bacterial small subunit ribosomal RNA", at positions 9 to 520 of the family's 1533-position model. The record is from RNAcentral.